RNAcentral lists this ribosomal RNA (253 nucleotides) under uncultured bacterium. RNAcentral's name for it is "partial 16S ribosomal RNA". It matches the Rfam family "Bacterial small subunit ribosomal RNA", at positions 524 to 776 of the family's 1533-position model. The record is from RNAcentral.
UACGUAGGGGGCAAGCGUUGUCCGGAAUCAUUGGGCGUAAAGAGCGUGUAGGCGGCCCGAUAAGUCCGCCGUGAAAGUCCAGGGCUCAACCCUGGAAUGCCGGUGGAAACUGUCGGGCUGGAGUCCGGAAGAGGCGAGUGGAAUUCCUGGUGUAGCGGUGAAAUGCGCAGAUAUCAGGAGGAACACCGGUGGCGAAGGCGGGUCUCUGGACAGUUCCUGACACUGAGACACGAAGGCCAGGGGAGCAAACGGG